UGGGGAAUAUUGCACAAUGGAGGAAACUCUGAUGCAGCGACGCCGCGUGAGUGAAGAAGGUCUUCGGAUCGUAAAACUCUGUCCUUGGUGACGAAGAAAAUGACGGUAGCCAAGGAGGAAGCCCCGGCUAACUACGUGCCAGCAGCCGCGGUAAUACGUAGGUGGCGAGCGUUGUCCGGAAUUACUGGGUGUAAAGGGUGCGUAGGCGGACUGGCAAGUUGGAUGUGAAAUCUCCGCGCUUAACGUGGAGGUUGCAUUCAAAACUGUUGGUCUUGAGUGAGGCAGAGGCAGGCGGAAUUCCCGGUGUAGCGGUGAAAUGCGUAGAGAUCGGGAGGAACACCAGUGGCGAAGGCGGCCUGCUGGGCCUUAACUGACGCUGAGGCACGAAAGCAUGGGUAGCAAACA
This 405-nucleotide ribosomal RNA is filed under the name uncultured bacterium. Its description in RNAcentral is "bacterial SSU rRNA". It matches the Rfam family "Bacterial small subunit ribosomal RNA", at positions 355 to 774 of the family's 1533-position model. The record is from RNAcentral.